GACGAACGCUGGCGGCGUGCUUAACACAUGCAAGUCGAACGGAAAGGCCCUGCUUUUGUGGGGUGCUCGAGUGGCGAACGGGUGAGUAACACGUGAGUAACCUGCCCUUGACUUUGGGAUAACUUCAGGAAACUGGGGCUAAUACCGGAUAGGAGCUCCUGCUGCAUGGUGGGGGUUGGAAAGUUUCGGCGGUUGGGGAUGGACUCGCGGCUUAUCAGCUUGUUGGUGGGGUAGUGGCUUACCGAGGCUUUGACGGGUAGCCGGCCUGAGAGGGUGACCGGCCACAUUGGGACUGAGAUACGGCCCAGACUCCUACGGGAGGCAGCAGUGGGGAAUAUUGCACAAUGGGCGGAAGCCUGAUGCAGCAACGCCGCGUGCGGGAUGACGGCCUUCGGGUUGUAAACCGCUUUCGCCUGUGACGAAGCGUGAGUGACGGUAAUGGGUAAAGAAGCACCGGCUAACUACGUG
This 468-nucleotide ribosomal RNA is filed under the name uncultured bacterium. Its description in RNAcentral is "partial 16S ribosomal RNA". It matches the Rfam family "Bacterial small subunit ribosomal RNA", at positions 28 to 507 of the family's 1533-position model. The record is from RNAcentral.